CCCAGCUUGUCAUGCUAGAGGACUUUUUCAAUGGGCUCCCCAACGAUAAGGCGAUGACGCAUUCGUAUGUCAUCCAUAUCAACUUUCGAUGCCACUUUCUGCACCUACCACGGUGACCACGUGUAACGGGGAAUCCAGGUUUGAUUCCGGAGAGGGAGCCUGAGAAAAGGCUACCACAUGCAAGGAAGGCAGCAGGCGCGCAAAUGACUCACGCCUGAUGCGGGACGGUAGUGAUG
Non-coding RNA from Pelobates cultripes (western spadefoot toad), 236 nucleotides. The record is from the annotation of a GenBank genome assembly. Lineage: Eukaryota; Metazoa; Chordata; Amphibia; Anura; Pelobatidae.